GUUAUUUGAGGUGGUAAAUUGUGUCAACCACACACCUUAUAGGUCAAAAGAGAUGUAGGAAAUGAUACACCUACCAAAUAAC
Molecule: non-coding RNA, 82 nt
Filed under: unclassified sequences
Description: skipping-rope RNA
Rfam family: skipping-rope RNA
About the family: Firmicutes, Fusobacteria, AlphaProteobacteria, Spirochaetes. Downstream gene
Source: Rfam by way of RNAcentral